Molecule: ribosomal RNA, 253 nt
Filed under: uncultured bacterium
Lineage: Bacteria
Description: partial 16S ribosomal RNA
Rfam family: Bacterial small subunit ribosomal RNA
Source: RNAcentral
UACGAAGGACCCGAGCGUUAUCCGGAUUUAUUGGGUUUAAAGGGCGCGUAGGCGGCCUGCUAAGUCGGAUGUGAAAUCCCUCGGCUCAACCGAGGAACUGCAUCCGAUACUGGCGGGCUUGAAUCCGGGAGAGGGAUGUGGAAUUCCAGGUGUAGCGGUGAAAUGCGUAGAUAUCUGGAGGAACACCGGUGGCGAAGGCGGCAUCCUGGACCGGUAUUGACGCUGAGGCGCGAAAGCUAGGGGAGCAAACGGG